Molecule: RNA transcript, 686 nt
Organism: Zea mays
Lineage: Eukaryota; Viridiplantae; Streptophyta; Magnoliopsida; Poales; Poaceae
Gene name: peptidyl-prolyl cis-trans isomerase A
Exons: 7
Source: RefSeq, marked validated
UGUUUUAAUUUUGCCUGCAGACGAAUUUUGGUGACAUUGAGUUUGGCUUCUUUCCUCAUGUUGCACCUAAGACUGUCGAACACAUUUUCAAACUUGUGCGGCUUGGAUGCUACAACACAAAUCACUUCUUCCGGGUUGACAAGGGUUUCGUUGCACAAGUUGCUGAUGUUAUGUCAGGUUGAACCGCCCCUAUGAAUGAGGAGCAGAAAAAAGAAGCGGAGAAAACAAUUGUUGGUGAAUUUAGUAGUGUCAAGCAUGUCAGGGGAAUCCUCUCCAUGGGAAGGCACUCUGAUCCAGACAGUGCUGGCUCUUCCUUUUCUAUUCUUCUGGGCAAUUCACCGCAUCUUGAUGGCCAGUAUGCUGUAUUUGGGAGGGUCACUAAAGGUGACGAUACAUUGACUAAACUAGAGAGGCUUCCAACCCGGAGAGAAGGCAUUUUUGUAAUGCCGAUCGAGCGUAUCAACAUCCUAUCAACUUACUAUUAUGAUAUUGAUCUAGAGAGCUGUGAAGCAGAAAAAUCUAUUCUCCGGAGGAGACUUUCUGAAUCAGCAUCAGAAGUUGAGCGAUGGAGAAGAAAAUGCUUUGCUUAAUGGUGGAAUAAGGUGAAUUACUUGCUUAUUGCUUUCAAUAUUUGUAUAAAAUUUUCAGGGCAGCAACUUGCUAUAUGCAUUACAAAAGUAAGGCUG